This 273-nucleotide ribosomal RNA is filed under the name uncultured bacterium. RNAcentral describes it as "partial 16S ribosomal RNA". It matches the Rfam family "Bacterial small subunit ribosomal RNA", at positions 524 to 796 of the family's 1533-position model. The record is from RNAcentral.
UACGGAGGGGGCUAGCGUUGUUCGGAAUUACUGGGCGUAAAGCGCUCGUAGGCGGAUUGGUCAGUCAGAGGUGAAAGCCCAGGGCUCAACCCUGGAACUGCCUUUGAUACUGCCAGUCUAGAGUUCGGGAGAGGUGAGCGGAAUUCCGAGUGUAGAGGUGAAAUUCGUAGAUAUUCGGAGGAACACCAGAGGCGAAGGCGGCUCACUGGACCGAUACUGACGCUGAGGAGCGAAAGCGUGGGGAGCAAACAGGAUUAGAUACCCGGGUAGUCC